This 437-nucleotide ribosomal RNA is filed under the name Bufo bufo (common toad). Its description in RNAcentral is "partial 16S ribosomal RNA". It matches the Rfam family "Bacterial large subunit ribosomal RNA", at positions 1910 to 2503 of the family's 2925-position model. The record is from RNAcentral. Lineage: Eukaryota; Metazoa; Chordata; Amphibia; Anura; Bufonidae.
CCCAGUGACCCUGUUCAACGGCCGCGGUAUCCUAACCGUGCGAAGGUAGCGUAAUCACUUGUUCUCUAAAUGUGGACUAGUAUGAAUGGCAUCACGAAGGUUAUACUGUCUCCUUUUUCUAAUCAGUGAAACUAAUCUCCCCGUGAAGAAGCGGGGAUAAUACUAUAAGACGAGAAGACCCUAUGGAGCUUUAAACAGUACAGCAUCUGCCCCAUAACACUAAAAUUUCUGAAUAAAAACUUCAUUGGACAGUAUGACUGCGAGUUUUUGGUUGGGGUGACCACGGAGCACAAUACAACCUCCAUGCUGAAAGAAAAUUUCUAAGCCAAGGUCUACAAGCCUAAGCAUCAACACAUUGACAUCCAUUGACCCAAUACACUUGAACAACGAACCAAGUUACCCUAGGGAUAACAGCGCAAUCCACUUCAAAAGCUCCU